UACAGAGGGGGCAAGCGUUGUUCGGAAUUACUGGGCGUAAAGGGCGCGUAGGCGGCCCUCUAAGUCAUGCGUGAAAUCCCCGGGCUCAACCCGGGAACUGCGUCUGAUACUGGAGGGCUCGAAUCCGGGAGAGGGAUGUGGAAUUCCAGGUGUAGCGGUGAAAUGCGUAGAUAUCUGGAGGAACACCGGUGGCGAAGGCGGCAUCCUGGACCGGCAUUGACGCUGAGGCGCGAAAGCCAGGGGAGCAAACGGG
RNAcentral lists this ribosomal RNA (253 nucleotides) under uncultured bacterium. Its description in RNAcentral is "partial 16S ribosomal RNA". It matches the Rfam family "Bacterial small subunit ribosomal RNA", at positions 524 to 776 of the family's 1533-position model. The record is from RNAcentral.